AAAAAAAAAAAAAGCACCACCGGCUAAAAUUUGGGAAAACAACAGAGGACUGUUGCCUCUCCAAUUUUCACUCACACACGCUCAGAUGAAUGAGCAAGGAAGGGGGGGACCUAAACAGCCCCUUUAGACGUGGGGCUGAAUUGAUGGGAUUGUGAUUUGUAGGAUUUCUCCACUUAGUCCCUGCCUCCUACUUGCUCUCCAGCCACUCCAAAGUCUCUUCCCCUCUCUUUAAGCAGCGAUUUCUUUCAAUCUCUCUCUCUCUCCCUCCCCGUGUCUCUCUCUCACACUCUCCCUCUCUCUCCACACACACUCAUCUCCCCGGAGAGAGAGAGAGGAGAAACUCAACUCCCAAACACCGACCAGAUGUCGAAGAAACGCAAAGCCCUGGAGGGCGGCGGAGCCCGGCUCCCCCCCGAGGACCCCAGAGCCCGCUUUGGGGCCGGCGAGGAGCAAGUUUCAGAGGAUCAAAUGCAACAUGCUGAAAGGGAAGACAGCUGUACCAACCCACUUCAAAGUAUGUGGAGCUGCAAACAGAAUGCUGGAAAGAUGUAAAGCUAAGGAAAACUCAGAAUGCUUGGGAAGAAAGAGAGAAUGGACAAGCUAUUCUUCUGUUAUUAAAAAAAGAAUAAAUGAAGCAGCUUCCCUAUUCCUGGUCAGCGAAGGAAUGUGUAUCUACUACCCUUAUUACUAAUGUACAAGAGGAUCUGUGUCUGCCUUCACCUGACCUCACAGUGUUGUCAGAGGGCUGCAUUUUACGGCUUCAUCACCAGCUUGCCAUGGUCUUUGAACAUAUCACAGUCAGGUGCUUCUCUAUAGGAAAGGAGGAGAGCUGCGAACACCAAGUGACAUGAAAUUGAUGAUUUAUUUAUUUUUUAAAAGGCAUUGUGUUAAUAACAUGAAAAAACAGAGGCUGUAAUGAUCACUAAUAAAGCACUAGUAUAUUAAUAAAGCUGCUUUGUG
RNAcentral lists this long non-coding RNA (960 nucleotides) under Anser cygnoides (Swan goose). RNAcentral's name for it is "lncRNA (ENSACDG00005013554.1)". Lineage: Eukaryota; Metazoa; Chordata; Aves; Anseriformes; Anatidae. The record is from RNAcentral.